This 6874-nucleotide long non-coding RNA is filed under the name Capsicum annuum. Its description in RNAcentral is "long non-coding RNA (CANN_LNC004752)". The record is from RNAcentral. Lineage: Eukaryota; Viridiplantae; Streptophyta; Magnoliopsida; Solanales; Solanaceae.
UUUUUUUUGGGUGUAAAUCUACCAGUUGGUAGUAUACGUUGUAUUAUAUUUGGACUCUUUUUCUUUAAAUUGUCAAUUCAUAUAAGUUCUAGAUAUGGCUGAUCCUGUUUGGGAAAUUGCUAUUUUAUGUGACACAGUGCAUGAACUUCAGAGGUAGGUUAAUGACCUACAGAGAGAUUUGGUCACCGUGAGAGCAAAGAUGUUUAGAGAGAUGUAGAGGCUGAUGAGGGCCCUGCUGUUGCGAGUUGAUUGGUUGGCUGUCAUUAAUGAUGAUGAUGAUGAUAAUAAUAUUUAGAAUUAGAAUAUGUUUUUUCUUUUAGCGUAUGUAUUUUAAUUUUUCUAUAUUGGAUCUAUACCUAAUAUAUUUUAUUUUUCGUCUAAUGAAAAUUUUAUUUUUAGUUGACUUUGGCUUUUUAAUUCUUAUUCAAUUUAUAUUUUGUCUAUUUCUUCUAAACAUACAUAUUAAUGUUAAUAUAUCGACGGUUGGAGGUAAGGAGAAAUUUUGAAUCCAGUAGCAAUAGCAAUUUUGGCUUUUGAGUUCUUUCAAUAGAUGAACCAUGUGUUGGAACAUAUUGGCCAUCUGUUGGAUUUUUGUCAAUAGAUUAUCCAUCUGUUGCGACAUAUUUGUCAUAUGUUGAAGGAAAGCAUUCCAGUUUGAUGAUAUUGUGUUGUGUUCUUCCAGCUAAUGUUCAUCAGUUGCCACAGAUGGUUAAACUGUUGAGAAUAAUUGUGGUCUGCUAUAUUAUUUAGUUCAUGUUUUGCCUCUUUUUAUUGAUGCACAAGUUAUUUAAAAAGAUAUUUAUAUAUAAUAAAUGAUAACACUACGUUCAUAACAAUGAGUUAAAUAUAUAAAAGUCCACAACAAACAACAACAUAAGUUUCUACAAUUACAACGAUCAUGAUGGAUUACGAUCCGGGCAUGUAGCUCUUAUGUGGCCAGCGCGCUUACAUACGGAGCACUUGUUUCUUCUUGAUGAAAAUGACUCUCCGACUCCAUGCCUUCUCUUAUAUGGCUUUCUUCUCUAUUUGAUAGUUCUUGAGUCAAUAUAUGAAGGAGGUAUUAAUCUCCCCAAAAUCUCUGCAGGAAUAACCUAAGUUUCUUCUAGAGGCACCGAAGUAUGCCCACUAUAUAUCAUUUCAUGUUCUUCCACCAAAUAAUAUUGAGAGGAGUGCUCGUGAACUCUAGGUCCAUAUGUUGGACCGUAUUGAGCUCGAAGCGCUGUCAUGGCAUGUGGACAGGGUAUUUUGUCCAAGUCAAAAACUCUAGACUGUGAAAACAUCACCAUGACCAGUGAUACUGAAUUUGUAAUCUUCUAUUUUAUGAGAUAAUAAUCUAUUCUCCAAAUUGAUGUUUGUUGAUAUUAUUUUUUUAUUUUGAGAAUAAAUCGGGUUCUUUUUGGGCCCUUGAACUGCACACGCCUUUCAUUAAAAAAUCGUUCAUACUUCUUAUUUAUUACUUCAAACAUAGCCUUGAUGGGAAAUUCUCUUUCAUCGUCAAACAAUGAAUUCACCAACUCAGAAUGCCCGGCUCCAUCUCUCAAAAUCGACAUGUACGAGAAGUUCUGCUACCUUGGGAUUCACAUCCGUUAUUUGAUUGAAAUGGUCUAAAAACUCCUCUCUACUAUACGUUUUAGCUACUUUAUAAAAAAGGGUUAUGACCCUUUCGUUGUGAUAGUUGGUCCGAUUGUUCUCUCUAAGAUGCCUGAUGCAACAACAAAAGUAAGCUAAAGUGAAGAAAAUUGAACACAUCUUUGGAAUACUUGGACGCCUACCCAAAACAAAACACAACUCUUAGGUAUCUCCGACGCAUCUUCGCAGUUGUUCAAAAAAAAUCCAUAAGAGGCAUCACAUUCCUUGUCCGCUACACAAAAACGACAGGAAAGAUGUGAUUUCACAUCUUGCGCCUCCGCCGCUAGUAGAACUCCAUUAUACUUGCUCCUCAAGAAGGUACUAUUGAUGGCUAUGCCUUUUUACAAAUGUCGAAAACCUUGAAUUCAAGCACCAUAGGAUACAAAAAAGUACUUGAACCUUCCGUUUUCAUCAACAUGUAAUGUCGUCUUACUUCUGGGAUUUGUGGAUUCAAUCAUGUAAUGGUAGGCCACCAGGACUGCAUACCCAUGCUCGUGUGUCCCCCUAACCAAUUCCUUGGCAAUCCCCAUAACCGUAUAUAUCUUUCAAUAACUGACCAAGACACUCAAUUUCGUAAGGAUUUGAUUGGACAUAACCCUUGUUGAAGGGCCUUUUCCAUCGAGGAAACUAACUCUUGAAAUAUUCACCAAGGACCUUUGCCGUGGCGUGAGGAUUUUGGCCUGAGAUGUGCUACAAACCACAUGUGUGAUGCUUUUCAUGUUUAUGAAUGAUGAAUCUGUCAGAACUUAUGUACUUCACCGCUCUCAACCACCACUUGCAGUUCAGAUUAGCACAUUUGAGGCAAAAGACACUGCUCGAAUUAAUCACCUUCUUUAUUCUGAAAUCUUAUUUCAAGCAAGAAAUAAACAAAGUGGUAGAUAGUUCAUUCUUGUCCUUGAAUGACAUUUCGAUAAAAAAUCUGAUCCCAUCGUCUUAAAGAUUUCCAGAUUGUGUUAAUUGAGAAGAACUACCCAUCGUAUUGGUCGCAUCAAUGGGUGUAGGUGUUUGAUCAUCAUCUGAAAUGUCAUGUCUAGAUCAUCCAACCUAUCAUCAAAGAUGUCUUGUUCUUCUUCUUCUUCUACGUUCUGGUUCUCAUUCUCUCUCGUCUUUUCAACCACUUACACCCUUAACACUGGCCUGGAUGAAUCACUAAGAUAAGCACGCGACCGAACCUGAUCAAUUAUCUUGAAGGAAAGUACCCUCUGAUUUUUAAAGGAGUUGUACAUAUCGCUGAUGACGAGUUCUUUCUAUUGACAGUUCAGUCCAUAAUAACUGAUGAUUAAGUUCACAAAAUCAUCAUACGAAACAUCACUUUAGACUGUCAUAGCUAUCGUCUCUAGCAUUUCACCCUCGUUCCAAUGUUAUACAUAUCGAUUGCUCUUCUCGAUCCAUUGACUAUGACAAUCCACCCCUAUUGUUAUUCAUCCCUCCAUUAGUGGUACCUAAAUAAAUUCAUUUGUUAAAAAAAGUUAAUAGUGAUUUCAUAGUGCCGUAAAUGAAUAUCAAAAGUUGUGUAAUCAGUCGCAACAGAUUACUUACCUGUUGGAAUUCAUGUUACGUUCCUAAAACUGAUUUCAACAGACGAGUCAUCUGUUGUAACAGGUAAAUCAUAUGUUGCAACAGAUGAAGCGCCUGUUGGGAUUGAUGUUACAGUACUGAGGCACCUUUGAAGCUGAUUCCAACAGAUGAGUGAUAUGUUGCAACAGAUAAUUAACCUGUUGCGAUAGAUGACUUACCUGUUGCAACAAACGAUGAUCUGUUGGAAUCGAGGUCAGGUUCUAUCGCAACAGGUUACAUAUGUUGCAAUAGAUAUUUACCGUCUGUUGGAAUAGAGUUCAGGUUCUGUUGCAACAGGUUAAUAAUUUGUUACGAUAGAUAUUUACCCUAUUGCAACAGACAACACGUCUGUUGGAAUGAGUUCAGAUUCUGUUGCAACAGGUUACUAAUCUAUUACAUUAUAUUUAUCAUGUUGCACCAGAUAACUAACAUGUUGCAACAAAUGGGUCAUAUGUUGCAAUAGAUGACCCAUCUGUUCGAUUCAUGUUACGGCACUAUAGAAUCAUAAACAUGAAUCCAAAAUAUGAGUCUUCCUUUGAAACAGAUGUGUUUAAACAGAUGGCUCUUAUGUUGUAUUCAUGUUCGCAUGCUAUCUAAAAAACAGCACAAUAGCAGUUACCCAGAUGACAAAUUCAACUAAAAAUUAUAAUUUGACUUACCAAAGUCUCCUAUGAAGUAAUGCCAAAGUGGAAAGUGAUGUACGAAAUAAAAUUUGAUCUAAGAAAUUGGUCAAAUAGCAAUAGUAGCGGUAACAACAACAACAGCGACAAUGAUCAACAAGAAGAAGAUGAAGAUGAUAAUGAAGUAGAAGAUGAUGAUAAUGAAGCAGAAGAUGAUGAAUAAAAUAGCAGCAACAAUGAACAACAAAAAUCACUAAGAGAGAGAAAACAACGAUGGAUGAAAGAGAGAGAUAAAGGUGCUUUUUCCCUCUGUUUUCCAUUAUAUUAGGUAAAUAUUUGGAUCAAAGUGUAAAUUUAAAAACUUUUGGGUUAUUCUCAAACUUAUCAAACUUUCUUAAUCCAUAAUAAAGUAAUUGUCACCUCCACUCAAUUAUGAAAACUUUUGUCACCUACACCUCAUUUUAAAGCUUUUUUGUCACCUACAGCUCAAAGCCCCAUGUUGCUAGGAUUGUGGAAUGAAUAAUAAUUUUUGAAACCAAAUAAUAUAAUUUCAUUAUUAUCUAAAUCAUGAUUAAAGAUUUUCUUUGAAUAAUUAAAUCUUAACCAUUAAAUUUAACAUUUGUCAUAUGUCAUAUUGAAGAGUGGGAAAUGGAGAGCAGCCGGAUCCAAAUUAAACAACUACAAAUUAGGAGAUAGACGAGUAUUAUUUUGCCUAGUCUAAACAAAAACUAAAGCGUCAGGGCUUGAAUGACAAAUUCCCAAUCACCAAUGAGGAGAGUUAAAAAUUGAGAGCACGAGUGAACUAGAGUUGGCAGGAGAUUGAGAGAGAAUUGUGGAUUUGUGAUGAGAAAAUUGAAAAGAUUGGGGGGAAACUAAAACAGAAAAUUAAAUACUGUAUAUUGUUGCUAAAAUUUACAAACAAUAAAAAUUAGUGCAGAAACACUAUACUUAGUCGACGCAUCAUGCCUACUUUAUGCUUUGUCUUGCUUAGAAGGCUACUAACUAUAUCAAGGUGACUGGUGUCCAAACAUAUAGCCCUCGGCAUACAAAACAGAUAUGCUGACCAGAUCGUGCUACACCUCUUCUUCUCGUUUCAUCAACACCAGUAGAGAAUGAAUGGUCCAAGUUCACCCUACAUUAGACUGGCACAGUUCGGUCCAUCUUUCUUGACUCGAGACCUCUUUCACCAAGGACUAAUUCAAAUGUCAUUACACAGGUGAGUAGUCCUCUAUUAUGCCGAGGAAUAUAAUAUAAGAAUAUAAGACUUUUAAGAGAUUCAUUUGGAACCGGACGAGAGUUGCGUGUUAAGAGAACAGAAGCUUCAAUAAUUCCAAUUGCUCGAUGUCACUUUCUCACUCAAUAAGAGAAUUACAGUGCUAUACUUUGUCAGCUGUUGAAUCAGGAACAGAUGCGAAAGAUGUAAGAAAUUCAAUGAGUUGCUGUCCCUCCAUAGCCAUGACUUUAGAUGGAUACAACUAUCAAUAAUUGUUCUUCAAUUUUUCAAUUACAAGUAAAUUCACCAUCUGAAGCUUUUGGGAGGAUGAACUGGUUUUAUUCAAUCAAAAAAAUAGAUUAUGUACAAAACGCCCAACAACCCAGGUUCCCACUACACUAAGUGAUGUAUUUGAUCCUUUUCCAUUAUAUUAGGUAAAUAUUUGGAUCAAAGUGUAAAUUUAAAAACUUUUGGGUUAUUCUCAAACUUAUCAAACUUUCUUAAUCCAUAAUAAAGUAAUUGUCACCUCCACUCAAUUAUGAAAACUUUUGUCACCUACACCUCAUUUUAAAGCUUUUUUGUCACCUACAGCUCAAAGCCCCAUGUUGCUAGGAUUGUGGAAUGAAUAAUAAUUUUUGAAACCAAAUAAUAUAAUUUCAUUAUUAUCUAAAUCAUGAUUAAAGAUUUUCUUUGAAUAAUUAAAUCUUAACCAUUAAAUUUAACAUUUGUCAUAUGUCAUAUUGAAGAGUGGGAAAUGGAGAGCAGCCGGAUCCAAAUUAAACAACUACAAAUUAGGAGAUAGACGAGUAUUAUUUUGCCUAGUCUAAACAAAAACUAAAGCGUCAGGGCUUGAAUGACAAAUUCCCAAUCACCAAUGAGGAGAGUUAAAAAUUGAGAGCACGAGUGAACUAGAGUUGGCAGGAGAUUGAGAGAGAAUUGUGGAUUUGUGAUGAGAAAAUUGAAAAGAUUGGGGGGAAACUAAAACAGAAAAUUAAAUACUGUAUAUUGUUGCUAAAAUUUACAAACAAUAAAAAUUAGUGCAGAAACACUAUACUUAGUCGACGCAUCAUGCCUACUUUAUGCUUUGUCUUGCUUAGAAGGCUACUAACUAUAUCAAGGUGACUGGUGUCCAAACAUAUAGCCCUCGGCAUACAAAACAGAUAUGCUGACCAGAUCGUGCUACACCUCUUCUUCUCGUUUCAUCAACACCAGUAGAGAAUGAAUGGUCCAAGUUCACCCUACAUUAGACUGGCACAGUUCGGUCCAUCUUUCUUGACUCGAGACCUCUUUCACCAAGGACUAAUUCAAAUGUCAUUACACAGGUGAGUAGUCCUCUAUUAUGCCGAGGAAUAUAAUAUAAGAAUAUAAGACUUUUAAGAGAUUCAUUUGGAACCGGACGAGAGUUGCGUGUUAAGAGAACAGAAGCUUCAAUAAUUCCAAUUGCUCGAUGUCACUUUCUCACUCAAUAAGAGAAUUACAGUGCUAUACUUUGUCAGCUGUUGAAUCAGGAACAGAUGCGAAAGAUGUAAGAAAUUCAAUGAGUUGCUGUCCCUCCAUAGCCAUGACUUUAGAUGGAUACAACUAUCAAUAAUUGUUCUUCAAUUUUUCAAUUACAAGUAAAUUCACCAUCUGAAGCUUUUGGGAGGAUGAACUGGUUUUAUUCAAUCAAAAAAAUAGAUUAUGUACAAAACGCCCAACAACCCAGGUUCCCACUACACUAAGUGAUGUAUUUGAUCCUUUUCUGGCACACAAGAAUGUACAUGUGGAAAUGGCAUUUCAUGAUAUUGGGAGUGAUCAGCAAGUCCAACUCUAUAUCUCUGCGAUCCUAGGCUAACAUUUGAAUCAAGGCUUCAAA